This 1539-nucleotide ribosomal RNA is filed under the name Klebsiella pneumoniae. RNAcentral describes it as "bacterial SSU rRNA". It matches the Rfam family "Bacterial small subunit ribosomal RNA". Lineage: Bacteria; Pseudomonadati; Pseudomonadota; Gammaproteobacteria; Enterobacterales; Enterobacteriaceae. The record is from RNAcentral.
AAAUUGAAGAGUUUGAUCAUGGCUCAGAUUGAACGCUGGCGGCAGGCCUAACACAUGCAAGUCGAGCGGUAGCACAGAGAGCUUGCUCUCGGGUGACGAGCGGCGGACGGGUGAGUAAUGUCUGGGAAACUGCCUGAUGGAGGGGGAUAACUACUGGAAACGGUAGCUAAUACCGCAUAAUGUCGCAAGACCAAAGUGGGGGACCUUCGGGCCUCAUGCCAUCAGAUGUGCCCAGAUGGGAUUAGCUAGUAGGUGGGGUAACGGCUCACCUAGGCGACGAUCCCUAGCUGGUCUGAGAGGAUGACCAGCCACACUGGAACUGAGACACGGUCCAGACUCCUACGGGAGGCAGCAGUGGGGAAUAUUGCACAAUGGGCGCAAGCCUGAUGCAGCCAUGCCGCGUGUGUGAAGAAGGCCUUCGGGUUGUAAAGCACUUUCAGCGGGGAGGAAGGCGGUGAGGUUAAUAACCUCAUCGAUUGACGUUACCCGCAGAAGAAGCACCGGCUAACUCCGUGCCAGCAGCCGCGGUAAUACGGAGGGUGCAAGCGUUAAUCGGAAUUACUGGGCGUAAAGCGCACGCAGGCGGUCUGUCAAGUCGGAUGUGAAAUCCCCGGGCUCAACCUGGGAACUGCAUUCGAAACUGGCAGGCUAGAGUCUUGUAGAGGGGGUAGAAUUCCAGGUGUAGCGGUGAAAUGCGUAGAGAUCUGGAGGAAUACCGGUGGCGAAGGCGGCCCCCUGGACAAAGACUGACGCUCAGGUGCGAAAGCGUGGGGAGCAAACAGGAUUAGAUACCCUGGUAGUCCACGCCGUAAACGAUGUCGAUUUGGAGGUUGUGCCCUUGAGGCGUGGCUUCCGGAGCUAACGCGUUAAAUCGACCGCCUGGGGAGUACGGCCGCAAGGUUAAAACUCAAAUGAAUUGACGGGGGCCCGCACAAGCGGUGGAGCAUGUGGUUUAAUUCGAUGCAACGCGAAGAACCUUACCUGGUCUUGACAUCCACAGAACUUUCCAGAGAUGGAUUGGUGCCUUCGGGAACUGUGAGACAGGUGCUGCAUGGCUGUCGUCAGCUCGUGUUGUGAAAUGUUGGGUUAAGUCCCGCAACGAGCGCAACCCUUAUCCUUUGUUGCCAGCGGUCCGGCCGGGAACUCAAAGGAGACUGCCAGUGAUAAACUGGAGGAAGGUGGGGAUGACGUCAAGUCAUCAUGGCCCUUACGACCAGGGCUACACACGUGCUACAAUGGCAUAUACAAAGAGAAGCGACCUCGCGAGAGCAAGCGGACCUCAUAAAGUAUGUCGUAGUCCGGAUUGGAGUCUGCAACUCGACUCCAUGAAGUCGGAAUCGCUAGUAAUCGUAGAUCAGAAUGCUACGGUGAAUACGUUCCCGGGCCUUGUACACACCGCCCGUCACACCAUGGGAGUGGGUUGCAAAAGAAGUAGGUAGCUUAACCUUCGGGAGGGCGCUUACCACUUUGUGAUUCAUGACUGGGGUGAAGUCGUAACAAGGUAACCGUAGGGGAACCUGCGGUUGGAUCACCUCCUUA